Molecule: ribosomal RNA, 396 nt
Filed under: uncultured bacterium
Lineage: Bacteria
Description: partial 16S ribosomal RNA
Rfam family: Bacterial small subunit ribosomal RNA
Source: RNAcentral
AUACGUAGGGGGCAAGCGUUAUCCGGAUUUACUGGGUGUAAAGGGAGCGUAGACGGCUUGGCAAGUCUGAAGUGAAAGCUCGGGGCUCAACCCCGGAACUGCUUUGGAAACUGUCGAACUGGAGUGCAGGAGAGGUAAGCGGAAUUCCUAGUGUAGCGGUGAAAUGCGUAGAUAUUAGGAGGAACACCAGAGGCGAAGGCGGCUUACUGGACUGUAACUGACGUUGAGGCUCGAAGGCGUGGGGAGCAAACAGGAUUAGAUACCCUGGUAGUCCACGCGGUAAACGAUGAUCACUAGGUGUUGGCACGCAUAGCGUGUCGGUGCCGCAGCAAACGCAAUAAGUGAUCCACCUGGGGAGUACGUUCGCAGGAAUGAAACUCAAAUGAAUUGACGGGG